Molecule: ribosomal RNA, 377 nt
Filed under: uncultured bacterium
Lineage: Bacteria
Description: bacterial SSU rRNA
Rfam family: Bacterial small subunit ribosomal RNA
Source: RNAcentral
UAAUACGUAGGGCGCAAGCGUUGUCCGGAAUUAUUGGGCGUAAAGAGCUCGUAGGCGGCUUGUUGCGUCGGUUGUGAAAGCCCGGGGCUUAACCCCGGGUCUGCAGUCGAUACGGGCAGGCUAGAGUGUGGUAGGGGAGAUCGGAAUUCCUGGUGUAGCGGUGAAAUGCGCAGAUAUCAGGAGGAACACCGGUGGCGAAGGCGGAUCUCUGGGCCAUUACUGACGCUGAGGAGCGAAAGCGUGGGGAGCGAACAGGAUUAGAUACCCUGGUAGUCCACGCCGUAAACGUUGGGAACUAGGUGUUGGCGACAUUCCACGUCGUCGGUGCCGCAGCUAACGCAUUAAGUUCCCCGCCUGGGGAGUACGGCCGCAAGGCU